Molecule: transfer RNA, 72 nt
Filed under: Marmota monax (woodchuck)
Lineage: Eukaryota; Metazoa; Chordata; Mammalia; Rodentia; Sciuridae
Rfam family: tRNA
About the family: Transfer RNA (tRNA) molecules are approximately 80 nucleotides in length. Their secondary structure includes four short double-helical elements and three loops (D, anti-codon, and T loops). Further hydrogen bonds mediate the characteristic L-shaped molecular structure. tRNAs have two regions of fundamental functional importance: the anti-codon, which is responsible for specific mRNA codon recognition, and the 3' end, to which the tRNAs corresponding amino acid is attached (by aminoacyl-tRNA synthetases). tRNAs cope with the degeneracy of the genetic code in two manners: having more than one tRNA (with a specific anti-codon) for a particular amino acid; and 'wobble' base-pairing, i.e. permitting non-standard base-pairing at the 3rd anti-codon position.
Source: Rfam by way of RNAcentral
UGAGGUGUAGCUCGGUGGUAGAGCGCUUGCCUAGCAUGUGUGAGGCACUGGGCUCGAUCCUCAGCACCUCAU